UCAGAAUGAGAGCUGCUGGCGAGGAGGUGGGAUGACGUCGUGGCGAGCAGCCUCAGAAUGAGAGCUGCCGGCGAGGGGGUGGGAUGACAUCGUGGCGGGCAGCCUCAGAAUGAGAGCUGCUGGCGAGGAGGUCUGAUGGGUCUUCCUGCGGGGUGAUCAGACAGUUUGGGGCAAGUGGAGGUCCAGAGAGGGUGGCCACCUCGGUGGUGACAACCAUCCCGAGCAACAAUUGUGGGUGACGCGGCUGCUCCUGAGGGCGGUGAGAAUGACAACUCAGGGCUCUGAACUCUGCUCCAGUCAGGAUCAGAAAGCUGGAGAGCAACCACGACAGCCUUACAGUGGUCUCUUAGGAGGUGGAUGAAACCUCCAGCAGGUGGGCGAAAUGAACUGAAGGCUGCCCACAAGUAUGCAGACCCCAGACUAGUUGGAAACAGAACGUUGAUGAUGGUGACUCCCACCUACCUCACCACUAAUGAAUCAGAAGAAUGUUCGUGAGCCAAUCACACCCUCUUUGAGCCAUUAGUAUAAAAACUCCUCACUACUCCCUCCAGGUUGGGACAUACGGUUCUGAGGGCCUGCUAUGUCCUCCUUUGCCUGGCAAGCAAUAAAGCUAUUCUCUUCUACUUUGCCCAAAA
Molecule: non-coding RNA, 635 nt
Organism: Odocoileus virginianus texanus
Lineage: Eukaryota; Metazoa; Chordata; Mammalia; Artiodactyla; Cervidae
Source: RefSeq, a predicted model, not a curated record